RNAcentral lists this ribosomal RNA (279 nucleotides) under uncultured Methanotrichaceae archaeon. RNAcentral's name for it is "uncultured Methanosaetaceae archaeon partial 16S ribosomal RNA". It matches the Rfam family "Archaeal small subunit ribosomal RNA", at positions 1047 to 1325 of the family's 1478-position model. Lineage: Archaea; Methanobacteriati; Methanobacteriota; Methanomicrobia; Methanotrichales; Methanotrichaceae. The record is from RNAcentral.
GAGACCCACGCCCACAGUUGCCAGCGUACUCUCUGGAGUGACGGGUACAUUGUGGAGACCGCCGCUGCUAAAGCGGAGGAAGGAAUGGGCAACGGUAGGUCAGUAUGCCCCGAAUGUCCCGGGCUACACGCGGGCUACAAUGGUUGGUACAAUGGGUAUCUACCCCGAAAGGGGAUGGAAAUCUCCUAAAGCCAAUCUUAGUUCGGAUCGAGGGCUGCAACUCGCCCUCAUGAAGCUGGAAUCCGUAGUAAUCGCGUUUCAAUAGAACGCGGUGAAUAC